RNAcentral lists this ribosomal RNA (366 nucleotides) under Triticum aestivum (bread wheat). RNAcentral's name for it is "partial small subunit ribosomal RNA". The record is from RNAcentral. Lineage: Eukaryota; Viridiplantae; Streptophyta; Magnoliopsida; Poales; Poaceae.
AUGUUUUCUUUACUGUUCCCAUCCCUCCUGAUCCUUUUCCUUUUCUUUUUUUUGCGGGAGCUCCUGAUCCUUUUCCUGAAAUCUUCUUUAGCAAUUCUUUUCCUGAAAAAUAUCAAAUGUUGUUUGCCUUGUGCUACAGUUGUUUGGAUCGCAAAAGUAGACAAUCUCCGGGAGGCAUCUCUUGAAAAAUAUCAAAUAGCAUUGCUGGGUCGUCUACCUGUCGUCCAUUGCGCAAAUGCGAUCCACAUCGGCGUUACCGGAACAGCUGCUUUAUGCGUAAAGUCCCCGGGGCAAAUCAAGGUGCUUAGAUCUGUCGUGGUUAAAGUUUGCGCUAUCCAAACAUUCAUCCCCACUGCAAACAGCUGA